UACGGAGGGGGCUAGCGUUGUUCGGAAUUAUUGGGCGUAAAGGGCGCGUAGGCGGCCGGAUAAGUCUGACGUGAAAUCCCUCGGCCUAACCGGGGAACUGCGUUUGAAACUGUCCAGCUCGAGUCCGGGAGAGGGUAGUGGAAUUCCCAGUGUAGCGGUGAAAUGCGUAGAUAUUGGGAGGAACACCGGUGGCGAAGGCGGCUACCUGGACCGGUACUGACGCUGAGGCGCGAAAGCUAGGGUAGCAAACAGG
This 253-nucleotide ribosomal RNA is filed under the name uncultured prokaryote. Its description in RNAcentral is "partial 16S ribosomal RNA". It matches the Rfam family "Bacterial small subunit ribosomal RNA", at positions 524 to 776 of the family's 1533-position model. The record is from RNAcentral.